GAGGUCCAGCCUGCCCAGUGACCACAAAUUUAACGGCCGCGGUAUUCUGACCGUGCGAAGGUAGCGCAAUCACUUGUCUUUUAAAUAAAGACCUGUAUGAACGGUUAAACGAGGGCUUAACUGUCUCCCAUCUCCAGUCAGUGAAAUUGAUCUAUCCGUGCAGAAGCGGGUAUAAUAAUACAAGACGAGAAGACCCUUUGGAGCUUAAGGUACAAAACUUAAUCACGUAAAGCAAUUCAAUAAAAAACAACCCUUUAAUCUCGUGACAAAUAAGACCAUACCUUCGGUUGGGGCAACCAUGGAGGAAAAAAAAGCCUCCAAGUGGACUGAGGCAAGCCACCUAAAACCAAGAGAGACAUCUCUAAGCCACAGAACAUCUGACCAUAAAUGAUCCGAUCAACUAAGAUCGAUCAACGAACCAAGUUACCCAAGGGAUAACAGCGCAAUCCCCUCCAAGAGCCCAUAUCGACGAGGGGGUUUACGACCUCGAUGUUGGAUCAGGACAUCCUAAUGGCGCAACCGCUAUUAAGGG
Molecule: ribosomal RNA, 532 nt
Filed under: Dawkinsia denisonii (Denison barb)
Lineage: Eukaryota; Metazoa; Chordata; Actinopteri; Cypriniformes; Cyprinidae
Description: partial 16S ribosomal RNA
Rfam family: Bacterial large subunit ribosomal RNA
Source: RNAcentral